This 268-nucleotide long non-coding RNA is filed under the name Mytilus galloprovincialis (Mediterranean mussel). Lineage: Eukaryota; Metazoa; Mollusca; Bivalvia; Mytilida; Mytilidae. The record is from RNAcentral.
AAUGUUUAAAAAAAUUAUAUCAAAUUUACGACAAAUACUUUUGUAAUUCUUGCGUGAAAUUAUGCGCAGUCGAAUAGUCCCGAGCCACCUUAAUAUUAAACAUCACAUAAAACAUCAUUCAACUUAUAUGCAAACUAAACAGCAUACUGUGAAUUCAUUAUUAUUUAUGGUAUACCAAUUUUUUUGAUUUUCAUUGGUACAGGAGAACCAUGAAUUAAAAUGUUCAACGAAUCUGAUAAUGCAAGAUUUCCUCAAUCUAUGAAAAUUG